UUUCCACUGUUUUCCUUAUCUUGGCUCCAAAUUCCACCAUCUCCCCAACCCUCGUCGUCUCCAUCGUUUCUCCCUUCUUCUUCACCACCAAUCCAGACUGCUUCACACACUCCGCCUACUGCCGGUCGUGGCGUCUUAGAAUUGCAGUCUUUCUCCGUUUCAAACACUUUGAAGCACAAUUCUAUUCGUGGAGGAAGCGGAGGAGAACGGAUGAUCGAUUUAAUUUUUAGCUUCAUCUUUGGAUUAGUAGUAAAAUUGAGAAAAAUACUUCUCGGAUUAAAGAAAAACACCCCAAAUCGACAUGGAGGGUUUGAUUUUCUCGCUUCGUCCCCUGAUUGUUGGUAAAAUUAUGUCGCUUUUUUUGCUCUUUGUUCGCGUUUUUCUUUUAUGUUGGAACAAUCGAAGCUCCUCCGGACCACAUGUAAUCUGUGAUCAUAAUCAUUACUCUAAACCUACAACUAAAGUCUUAUUGGAUUCAAGGUUCUCUUCCCGAUUCUUCUCUUAUAAGCUACAUGUAUAUUUUUCAAUGGUGGUGUUGUUCUCUUCCCGACUGCUCGCUUUAUUCCUCUGUUGGUGGUGUUGUUCUAGUACUGAUGGUGCCCAACAUAGUCCUAAAUUCGAUUUGUUAGAGAAGUUUUUUAUUGAUUUUAUGGGAGAAGAUGGGUCAUUUUCCAUGGUGGAUAACAAAGAAGGAGCUUGAUGAACUGUUUAGACAAUUUUGACCAAUAAAGAAAGUUAUAUCAAUAAAUUAUAGAAGGUGAGUCACAUUCUUAGUUAAAAUUGUAGAUUCAUUGAUAACUUUCAUAUGAUUGCUGAUUUUUAUUGACGUUGCACAUUUUAACCCACUUUUGAAUGAUAACUUUUGGGUACUCUAUCUGUUACAAAAAAUGGAAUUGAAGGUGUGUGCUCCACCAGAGAGUGGGAUUCUUAUAGACCGAUGCUGAAUCUUUAAUGGUUAGAAUUUUACCAUUGCUAGCCUCCGAUAAAGAUGAAUCAGGUAUAAAGAAGUUCAUAUCAGUUGUAAGUAAGCCUUCAACUUCAAAACUUGAAAUAAUUUAUUGGAUGUAUAGGAGAUUAGGCUCUGUUUGUGUGUGGUUAAGUGAUAAAUGUCCAAACUUCAAGCAUGAGAGGGCAUUACUGUAACUUUUGAAGCCAUUAGUUGAAUUCAGAAUAUUUGUUGCAGUUAAGGAGUUGAAAUCCACUGAGAUAUGGGAGAGGUUUAAGCAAGAUUGCCUAGAGAAAGAUAACCGACUUUUAUAUCCAAGUGAAGCUUUGGUUUUGGCUUCUUGGCUGGAGGAAGAAAAGGAAUCAGGAAAAGGAAAAACAGAAUGAUUGUUCGCAGGUUCUUUCUGACAUGAUAUUUACUCAACCGGAGGUGGUUUCAUGUAGUGUAAGUAUACAUCUAUAGUUGUUGACAAAUAAAAAACUCCUGAAACAUUCGUAGUAUAUAUUACUUAAACUACUAAAAUGAGUGUUUUUUGUAGAUGAUUUCAUUUCUUCAGAAUCCGAUUUUUUGUCAGGUAGAUAAUGUGUAUUUUUUAUUAUUAUUUAUAUAUGAACGAUUAAUUGGUGAGUUUAGGCAACAAGAUCAGCUUAACGGAGCAAAAGUGCAUGAGACAAGCCUUCCCAACGUACUAAAGUCAGUAAAUACAAACAAUUACUAAUUUCCUUUUUUGGUUAAUAACAAAUUUUACAAUAACUUUAUAAUUACUCCCUGAAUAACUAAAAAUAGCUAAAAUAGAAAUAGGUCGAAAGUGUAUUCAAACGCUUGAUCAUUUUAUUAUUUGGAUCUUCAUUUUUGAUUUUGUGAACAUAUUAAAUUCAUUAGUAAUUUUUAAUGUUAACAAAUGAAGAGAAAAUGCUAUAUUUCUUUGUAUUUUGGAUGCAAGGGUAUUUUAGUCAAAUGUAUGAUUGGGUGACAUUCAAUUUGUAUAUUGGUAAAAAAAUUUGUAAAUUUGUCAAGUGGAUCAUAAAUGGUAUGGGCAGUAAUUGGAUCUUUAAUUCUUUAUUAUUAGGAGGUGAUUAGGUGAUCUUUCGAGUAAAGGGCGUUUUGGUCAAAACUGAAAAAUACCAGACAUAAUAGAUAGAUAAUAUAUUGUAUAUAGACAACAUACGCAUUACAGCCUUAAUCUGAAUGAACAUGGUGUAACCCAUAAAAAUGUAGGCAAUGUACUUUUUGAAGUAAUUAGAGGAAUGGAAUGUUGAAUAUGAAAGGAGAAUACAAACAUGGGAUUAGGCCAUUUUAUAUAUUUAUGUGAGUUUCUGUUAACUUUUCUUAUGUGAUUCUUUACUUAUUUUACCAUGUGAUUGAAUUUGCAUGAGCAGAUUUGCGCUUGGAAUGGAAAGGAAAUUAUCUUCAAGCAAACUAAAUAUUUGUUUCCAUAUAAUAGGAAAUUGAUGGAAUGAAAAAGAUUUUCAUUAUUCUUGCAUUUUCCCCAAAAUUGAAUCGAAAGGUAUUCAUGAGUUUGUUAAUUAUAUUCCUAAUGCAACUAUAUAUUUUAUAUUAAUUUUAAUUGUGGAGUGAAUAAACAAUUUGUAGUAUAUCAACAUAUUGUGCAUAUGUCAACUUUCAAGGUCAUAUUUCUUCUUCUUUUUUUAACUCUUCACAUUUUUUUCUUUUUAUUUAUUUUAUUUAUUUUUAAUUUUAUAUACUAUUUUAUAACAAUAUUAUAAAGAAUUGAUUGAACAUUGUAAUCUCAUGUUCGUAUAAUUUCAGAAAGAUAACUUCCAACUACAACAGGCACACCAGAAGAUUGGAUUAAACGGAUACAGUUGCUAUUUGAGCAAAAUCGGGAAAAAAAUUCGGCUAAGAUUCAGAUAUAUCCUUCUCAAAUAAUGCAUGUUCAAUGUAGAUACUACUAAAACAAAUUACUCUACCUCUACUACUUUUUUAUCGUAUAACAAUGGAGAUUAAACAGCUCCAAGGGCAAGAUGGUCAUCACAACAGCUCAAAAUCGAACCAUAUGAGUGUUUUUGCAGUUUACUAUUAAUUUAUUAACGAUUUCUUAAGCUUUUUUUUUUUUUUCAGUUUUGGGAUACGGACAACCAUUGAAACAUAUAGUCGAAGGGAAAUCAUGCAUCAGUACUCAGAUUACACACACACACACAUAUAUAUAUAUAUAUAUAUAUAUAUAUAUAUAUAUAUAUAUAUAUAUAUAUAUAUAUAUAUAUAUAUAUAUAUAUAUAUUGGCUCUGAAAUUACAUUAAUGCAAAUAAAAAUAGCAACAGACUUAUAUAUAUUUGUGUUCUAUGUCUCCCUACUUUCAUUACUUUCUAUUACGACAUUGUAUUGUUUUAUUGUAGGGGCAAUUUGGUAUAAUGGGAUGCAUCAAGAAAUAGAUGUAGUUUAUGCUACAUUUGUGAGAUAGCAAUGUACUUUUGUCGUCAAAAAAUGGUCUAUAAAGCUGAAUAAGUUUCAUAAAAAUGAUUGUGAAA
This is a long non-coding RNA of Lactuca sativa (garden lettuce), 3435 nucleotides long. RefSeq lists it as uncharacterized. The record is from RefSeq and is a predicted model, not a curated record. Lineage: Eukaryota; Viridiplantae; Streptophyta; Magnoliopsida; Asterales; Asteraceae.